This is a non-coding RNA of Lepisosteus oculatus (spotted gar), 1650 nucleotides long. NCBI's taxonomy places the organism in Eukaryota, Metazoa, Chordata, Actinopteri, Semionotiformes, Lepisosteidae. The record is from RefSeq and is a predicted model, not a curated record.
GAACAAAAAGCAGAAGACAAUAGGCCCUCCAGUUUGCGUUUAAGUUUCUGUUCUACAGGCUUCACAUCACUGCACAGCUCAUAAUUUGUUUCCCCACCACCACCGCUCUCAAUUAGAAAUCUGGAAUAGUUUAUCAUGCCAAAUUACAAUCUUAGCAGAAACCACGGAACACACAACAUGCAUAUGAAACAGGAAGUGACAGAGUAAGAGGAAAGCUGAGAUGGGGAGCUACCCCUUCGGUGCCCUCACUCACAGGAGUCGUCUGUGGUGGGCUUUCUGGAGCAGUCCCGGGAGUUUCCCUGGGUCUCAUGCUUCGCUUUUCCGGGAAAUCUGCUUUUAUCCUUGAAGGACAGCCAGGAAGUCACAGUAACACGCAAGAAGGAAGAGCAGCGGAUUGAAGGAGCAGGGAAGGCAAGGGAGAACCACAGGAGGAAGUCCGAAUGUCAGGCCGGCCUUCUCUGCUGCAGAUGUUGAAUAAAGUCCCGAUUGUUUUUGGUGCUCCCAAUUCUCGACUGGGAAUUGUUGAAUUCCUUCUCGUCUGUGCCAUCGCGAACCCAUAUGUUUGUCUGCUCUGGGCUGCAGCCCAAGCCCAGGGAGGAGAAACAUUCCUCGGAUAGACACUGAUUUCCUCCGGGCAAAACAUCUACGUCUCGACUCCCACAGUAUCCACACCCCCCAAGCCACACCAGAACAACAUGGACCGUUUUUAUGGCUUUAUGUAACAGGCAGAGGGCAAGCGAGGAGGGGGACAGGGCUGAUGGAAAAGAGGGAUUCAUUGCCUAAGAGUGAGAAACAAAGGGAAAAAAGGAAGAGUGGGAUUAUAUGAAGGAGGUGGGAUGGAGAGAUUCUUCUUAAAAUAUAAAACAAGUGCAUUUGUUCUAUUUGAUUAUUCAGCAAUCCCCUACCUUUUUCUGUCUGUACCAACAUUGAGGCAUUACUUUCAUUAUUUUGUAUCUUACCUAUCCGGAUGAAACGACUUUAAUAGGUUCUGAAAUAGUCUUGCCUUUCCUUUUGUUUUUGAUUUUUAAUGACCUCUUCCUCUUUGUUAGCGCCAGCUUUUCCUGAGAAUCAUAUCGGCUCCCCCCACUCUGAACGCAGUUCCGCUCAAUGUAGAAUAACGUACCGUGAUUACAAAGUUCAGGACUGACUUCAUUAACACAGGUUGUAAAGCCAGUAUGGCAAUACUGCAGCAUGAGUCUUACAGGACUAAGCCACCAUCACUAACUGUAAUGUGGCUCCAGUCAGUUUGGAGACAUUUCAGAAAGCAGCCACAUCAAAGGGACGCUUUAUUUGUUCCUUGCAUUUCAUUUCUUGCGUAAUGCUUUCUGGGAUGCCUCUUAGUCACUAUCUGUUGUUGCUUUUGCUAAAGAUGCCGUCUUCCAGUCCAGCAGCUCCAGCAGAAAUACACAUUUUCUGUUCAACAUAGAAAAGUGUCCUCACCACUUUAGGGGAUAACAGUAUAUGAGUGCUGCACUGUUUUUCCAGCAUGCUUCAUCGGUUCCGUAGCACUGCAAUGGUAAUUCAUUUCUCUGCUGUUUUACUCCUGAGUGGCUCGUUGGCUUUGUAGUCAGAGCUGCUGCCUCUCGGCUCUCAGGUGGUGAGUUUGAUUCUGGACUGGGAUGGCUGCUGUGUGAUGUUCAUCACACCCAU